GUGGGGAAUAUUGGACAAUGGGCGAAAGCCUGAUCCAGCCAUGCCGCGUGUGUGAAGAAGGUCUUCGGAUUGUAAAGCACUUUAAGUUGGGAGGAAGGGUAGUAACCUAAUACGUUGCUACUUUGACGUUACCGACAGAAUAAGCACCGGCUAACUUCGUGCCAGCAGCCGCGGUAAUACGAAGGGUGCAAGCGUUAAUCGGAAUUACUGGGCGUAAAGCGCGCGUAGGUGGUUCAGUAAGUUGGACGUGAAAUCCCCGGGCUAAACCUAGGAACUGCUUGCAAAACUGCUGAGCUAGAGUACGGUAGAGGGUGGUGGAAUUUCCUGUGUAGCGGUGAAAUGCGUAGAUAUAGGAAGGAACACCAGUGGCGAAGGCGACCACCUGGACUGAUACUGACACUGAGGUGCGAAAGCGUGGGGAGCAAACAGGAUUAGAAACCCCUGUAGUCC
Molecule: ribosomal RNA, 450 nt
Filed under: uncultured bacterium
Lineage: Bacteria
Description: partial 16S ribosomal RNA
Rfam family: Bacterial small subunit ribosomal RNA
Source: RNAcentral